This 253-nucleotide ribosomal RNA is filed under the name uncultured prokaryote. RNAcentral's name for it is "partial 16S ribosomal RNA". It matches the Rfam family "Bacterial small subunit ribosomal RNA", at positions 524 to 776 of the family's 1533-position model. The record is from RNAcentral.
UACAGAGGUCCCAAGCGUUGUUCGGAUUCACUGGGCGUAAAGGGUGCGUAGGUGGCAGGGUAAGUUUGAUGUGAAAUCUCCGGGCUUAACCCGGAAACUGCAUUGAAUACUAUUCUGCUCGAGAUUUGGAGGGGGGACCGGAAUACUUGGUGUAGCAGUGAAAUGCGUAGAUAUCAAGUGGAACACCAGUGGCGAAGGCGGGUCCCUGGACAACAUCUGACACUGAGGCACGAAAGCUAGGGGAGCAAACAGG